RNAcentral lists this non-coding RNA (28 nucleotides) under Rattus norvegicus (Norway rat). Lineage: Eukaryota; Metazoa; Chordata; Mammalia; Rodentia; Muridae. The record is from RNAcentral.
UGAAGCAUCCUAACAUCCGAGAUUGAGC